RNAcentral lists this ribosomal RNA (466 nucleotides) under uncultured bacterium. RNAcentral describes it as "partial 16S ribosomal RNA". It matches the Rfam family "Bacterial small subunit ribosomal RNA", at positions 28 to 507 of the family's 1533-position model. The record is from RNAcentral.
GAUGAACGCUGGCGGCGUGCUUAACACAUGCAAGUCGAACGACGAAGCCCGGGUUGCUUGGUGGCUUAGAGGCGAACGGGUGAGUGACACGGGAGUAACCAGCCCAUCACCCUGGGAUAAGCCGGGAAAACGGGGACUAAUACCGGAAAGGAGCGUGCAGCGCAUGGAGGGCGUUGGAAAGAUUUGUCGGGUUUGGAUGGGCUGGCCGCCUAUCAGCUUGUUGGGGAGGAAGUCGCUCACAAAGGCGACGGCGGGUAGCCGGCCUGAGAGGGUGACCGGGCCCCCGGCGACUGUGCUACGGCCCAGACUACUACGGGAGGCAGCAGUGGGGACGAAUGCCUAAUGCGCCCAAGCCUGGUGCAGCGUCGCCGCGUUAUGGAUGACGGCCUUCGGGUUGUCAGCCUCUUUCUGUCCGGAAGGAGCGUUUGUGCCGGUACCUGCUGAAUAAGCACCGGCUAACUCCGUG